RNAcentral lists this long non-coding RNA (513 nucleotides) under Homo sapiens (human). RNAcentral describes it as "non-protein coding LINC01239:4". Lineage: Eukaryota; Metazoa; Chordata; Mammalia; Primates; Hominidae. The record is from RNAcentral.
AGGAGAAGAAGCAGGAGGAGGAGGAGAGAAGGAAAGGGAGGAGGAGGAGGAGAAAAAGAUGGUGGUAGAGGAGGAGGAGAAGAAGAAGAAGGAGGAGAAGGAGAAGGAGAAGAAGGAGCAGGAGGAGGAGGAAGAAGAAGAAGAGGAGAAGGGAACUCACAUGCUACCUGUGUGAGUCACAUGUCAGUGCAAUUUCUGGAGGUCAAUUGUAGCCCUGAAGUCUCAGAACAAUGGCAAAAAGAAAUACGGAGGGCAUGAUACAUUUGGCAGACUAAAAUUCUCAAGAUUCCUAUGCAGUCGAGUUUUACCAUAUGACUGAGUUCCAACAAAGAAAUAUGAGUAGAAGAUUGUAUAAGCAUCAUUUUUGACCCAGGGCUUUAAGAAGCAGUUGGCUGGCUAUGCAGUGAAGCUCCAUAUGUCCCACAUUCAUUCUUCAGAAUAACUUGGGCAAGUUCUCAUGGUGAAAGUAGAGGUGCAAAGGUAAACAAGUCCAAUUAUCUAAGUAUGUGCGAA